AUCGCCUCCUGCCGGGAUUCCCCCGAGAUAACAUUGACGGAAUCCGGCGGAGACCGGUCGCCCGGCCACCCUUUAUCGGCGACCACAGCCGGAGGCAGUUGUGCAGAAACCCCACGAGAAGGCAUCGGACGGGGAAAGGAGGAUUGGGUGCCGGAAAAGAUGACCGGAAGCGGAUCCGUUGAGCGCUCCUUUAAGAACAAGGGUGCUGCGAAGACACA
This 218-nucleotide long non-coding RNA is filed under the name Elaeis guineensis (African oil palm). RNAcentral describes it as "long non-coding RNA (EGUI_LNC049745)". Lineage: Eukaryota; Viridiplantae; Streptophyta; Magnoliopsida; Arecales; Arecaceae. The record is from RNAcentral.